This 340-nucleotide unclassified non-coding RNA is filed under the name soil metagenome. Its description in RNAcentral is "partial contains 5.8S ribosomal RNA, internal transcribed spacer 2, and large subunit ribosomal RNA". The stretch from base 1 to 119 matches the Rfam family "5.8S ribosomal RNA", at positions 35 to 154 of the family's 154-position model. The record is from RNAcentral.
GAUGAAGACGUAGUGAAAUGCGAUAAGUAGUGUGAAUUGCAGAAUUCAGUGAAUCAUCGAAUCUUUGAACGCACAUUGCGCCCUUUGGUAUUCCAAAGGGCAUGCCUGUUCGAGCGUCAUUUGUACCCUCAAGCUUUGCUUGGUGUUGGGCGUCUUGUCUCUAGCUUUGCUGGAGACUCGCCUUAAAGUAAUUGGCAGCCGGCCUACUGGUUUCGGAGCGCAGCACAAGUCGCACUCUCUAUCAGCAAAGGUCUAGCAUCCAUUAAGCCUUUUUUUCAACUUUUGACCUCGGAUCAGGUAGGGAUACCCGCUGAACUUAAGCAUAUCAAUAAGCGGAGGA